This 1089-nucleotide long non-coding RNA is filed under the name Mytilus galloprovincialis (Mediterranean mussel). Lineage: Eukaryota; Metazoa; Mollusca; Bivalvia; Mytilida; Mytilidae. The record is from RNAcentral.
CACGCCUAUAUUAUAUUUUCAUGUUUAGUGAGCACUAAAUCCAGGGAAAAAAACAAUUUAGUAUGGUCUAAAACUUUUAAAUCUCAUUCGAGAUGUUAAAUGCUCAAACUUUAAAGUUUUUAAAACGUAUUUAUCAAAGUCAAACGACAAUUGUUAUAUUUUUGUGAUUAAGGCCGGGUCCAAGAUAAUUGAAAGAAGGUGUAGUUCUCGAUAAUUGAAUUCAUACGGCCGAGCGUAGCGAUGCAAAAAAAUACCAAUUGUACUAUUUCAUACCAAAAUUUGUAAAGAUAACGUGUAAAAAGUUAGAUUUUAAAAAUUAUUUGCGAUCAAAAGGGAGAGUGCCUCCUCUAGCCCUGUAUCCCCGAAUGCAUGUUUAGGUAUACAUGAACAAAAACCUCGUCCCAUGCAUUCUCAUAAUUAAAGACGAAAAAGUACUAUUUGAUAAAUGUAUAAAGAUAUGAAUUUCUGCCCACGUUAAAUUGUCUUAUAAUAAAUUAAACUAUACAAACAUAAUUUGAAAACAAGUUAGUCGAGUACACCUUUUUAUUCGGGUGUGUUGGCAUCUACUUUUAAACGUUAAAACGUAUAAAAAAAUAGCAUUAUCGCUUCAGAUUUCAUGAUUUUAAUAUAUUCAUGCUAAAUUUUUACUAGGUAGUUUUUAAAAUUCAUAUUUUGGGAAGAACUGAAAUAUGGGUCAUGUGAAAUGACAAGAAACGAUGGGUGCGUUUGAUUACAAGUUACACGCUUACUCAUUUCAUUAAAAUAUUUGAGUCAAUAAAAUCAUUCAAAUUCAAUAACAAAAUAUGUAAAGAUUUAUAAAAGUAGUUGGGGUUGAUUUUUACUUUAAGUCUAUAUCAGCAAAACAUGCCUGUUCAAAGAGCAAAAAAUGCAUGCAGUGUAUGAUCCCCUCCGUCAUGCUUCAAUACAAUAGGAUAAAAUACGUUGAGUUAGGUCGGUUAUGUCGAGUCAAGUCGUUUUAUUGGAAAUCUCUAUUAGGGUUUUUCCCCUCUUAGAACACAUAGCUACACCCAGAGACAAGAAAACAAUUGAAAAUCAUUUUCUAAAAGGUGCAACGUAUAACAAACGUAU